GUGAACGCUGGCGGCGUGCCUAAUACAUGCAAGUAGAACGCUGAAGGAAGGAGCUUGCUCUUUCCGGAUGAGUUGCGAACGGGUGAGUAACGCGUAGGUAACCUGCCUGGUAGCGGGGGAUAACUAUUGGAAACGAUAGCUAAUACCGCAUAACAGUAGAUGUUGCAUGAUAUCUACUUAAAAGGUGCAAUUGCACCACUACCAGAUGGACCUGCGUUGUAUUAGCUAGUUGGUGAGGUAACGGCUCACCAAGGCGACGAUACAUAGCCGACCUGAGAGGGUGAUCGGCCACACUGGGACUGAGGCACGGCCCAGACUCCUACGGGAGGCAGCAGUAGGGAAUCUUCGGCAAUGGACGGAAGUCUGACCGAGCAACGCCGCGUGAGUGAAGAAGGUUUUCGGAUCGUAAAGCUCUGUUGUAAGAGAAGAACGAGUGUGAGAGUGGAAAGUUCACACUGUGACGGUAUCUUACCAGAAAGGGACGGCUAACUACGUG
Molecule: ribosomal RNA, 496 nt
Filed under: uncultured bacterium
Lineage: Bacteria
Description: partial 16S ribosomal RNA
Rfam family: Bacterial small subunit ribosomal RNA
Source: RNAcentral